Molecule: long non-coding RNA, 4588 nt
Organism: Brienomyrus brachyistius
Lineage: Eukaryota; Metazoa; Chordata; Actinopteri; Osteoglossiformes; Mormyridae
Exons: 3
Source: RefSeq, a predicted model, not a curated record
GCUAGCAUUUCAUUGUCAUGAAUAGUGCGAAGUGUGGUCAGGCUUCACGUAGCAAUGUUAAAUACCAUGGUAACCAUGUAUGGCUCUCUCUGCCCUCAGCUUGCUCAGUGCAAAGGAGUGAGGGGCAUUUUACACUUAUUAAUUAUCAAAGGCUGUACUCCAGGCAGCAACAAACAGGCACAAAAACAAGAGUUCUGUAACAGAUCCUACAAGAACUAUACUUGUUCAGCUGAAGAUGUGUACUUUUUAGAGUCAUUAUGCAUGGUUUGUGAUGAAGAAAGAAAUUAUUUUAAAUUUUAUUUAGUUAGUUUAUUUUAUAUUCAUCUGUUGCUUGGCAACCUACUAAAUAUCCUGGUACCAGAGUUAGGGCUGAGGUAAUAUAAAAUGACCUCAUGAUAUUUUUGCAAAUUUGUACGUUUUCCUUGUUUGUGGAUGUCUGUCCACAAUCCACAGGCUGCACAAGUAAACAAAGAGUUGUUAAAGAGAACUGUCACCCUGUCCAAGGAAAAGCUCUGCUGUACCUAUGAUUUAGUAUUUUAAAGGUAUAAUGUCAAUAUAUAGCUUAAAUGGGUAAAAUGUUUAAUUUUAUCCAUUUAAGCUAUUUUUAUGAGUCCGACAUCAGCCGCUUCUGGAAAGAGACUGAAUGUUAAUGAUACUUUGGUGAGACAAGUGUCUUCGAAUCGCUCCUCAUUGUUUUCCACUUAUAUCCUGCACUAGGAACUGCACUAGAAAGGCCACAUUUAUCUGAGCACAUGCGUUAUAUUUUCUUUAGCUGUUAAUCUUAUAUGUACGUAUGUAUGUAUGUCUGUGUGUGCGUGUGUCUACGUGUGUAUGAAGCUUACAUACUAAUCAGAUAUGUUUAUUAUGUGUUAUUCAUUUUCUCUGUGCAGCACUUCAGACAGUGAAGGUUGUUCUUAAAGUGCUUUGUAAAUGAAGUUUACUUACUUCUGAUAUUGAUGAAUUAGGUAGAAGAAUCUGACGGCGACCCUGAUGAUGUCAUUGGUGUGGCACAGCUAGAAUCUCUAUGACGUGUUAAUUGACAGUUGGGCGCCUGUUAUGCCCAACAACAUGGCUUGAUUUUCUUCCGCGGACAUAAUAGAAGCCUGCAAACACUAUGCUGAAAUUCCCAUGAACUCAGCACCGGGUCAUGACAUUUUCCAUUUCACUUCCAGUAGACAGGAAAUUAAAUCUCUGCCAUUUUAAUAGUGACAAUUAUAUUUUUCAAAAGCACCUCAAUUUGGUCCUUUUUAUCAAGGGUCAUCGAUUGAGUAUCAUUCUAAUAAGAGUGAGCUCUGUGUUACUUAUAAUCAUUUGUAUUCAGUGAUAUACAUUUAACAUCUAUUUAGCACAAAUCAACAAAAAACAUUGUCUCUCUCUAUCUAUCUCUAUCUAUCUCUAUCUAUCUCAGUCAGCUAAGUCUCAGUUCUGUGGGAUGCAGGUAUCAUAAACCAUUGUUUAUCGGUCUAUGUUUACUUACAUGCAUUGCUGUUAUGCGAACAAAACUGGGUAUUUAAAUCAGUUGUCUGCUCAAAUGCACUUAAUCAUAGUACUCAUGUAAAAGAAUGGGCACCCAGAAUAUUGAAGAAAAAAUGGGAAACAUGGAAGGUGACUGCUGUAAACAUGGAAGGUGGCUGCUGUAAACAUGGAAAGUGGCUGCUGUAAACAUGGAAGGUGGCUGCUGUAAACAUGGAAGGUGGCUGCUGUAAACAUGGAAGGUGGCUGCUGUAAACAUGGAAGGUGGCUGCUGUAAACAUGGAAGGUGACUGCUGUAAACAUGGAAAGUGGCUGCUGUAAACAUGGAAAGUGACUGCUGUAAACAUGGAAAGUGGCUGCUGUAAACAUGGAAGGUGACUGCUGUAAACAUGGAAGGUGGCUGCUGUAAACAUGGAAGGUGGCUGCUGUAAACAUGGAAGGUGGCUGCUACAAACAUGGAAGGUGAGGCGGCCGUUGGUUGAAACUGUCAGACCUGUCGUAAAUCUGUGUGUGGAAGGUCUUAAUCUGAGCUGUAACAUAAAAUCCUGGCUAUCAAAGUGAUUCAUGCAUCCCUCCUUUCCAUUCCAUUUGGGAUUGCCUCACAUGUUCCAGCAUAAUCAAAAGGUCUGACUAACACUUCUUACUAUAUUAGUCAGGCUUCUCUAUUGUUAUCGUCACACAAUAAAUAGACACACCUUAGGUACCCGAACUUUCUCUUCAGGCUAACUAAAUCCCAUUAUAACUAUAUUUCUCUAAGACCUACCCCUGAACAGACCAGCAGUCUGUGCCUACGGUACCACAGAUUGGGCCUCUCUCCAGCUACUUAUUUAUUUGUAUUUGCUCAUUUAUCCAUCCAUCCAUCCAUCCAUCCAUCAUCUCCCGAGGUCGGGUCCCGGUUAUUUAGCAAAUGCUUUUAUCCAAAGCGACAUAUAUAACUGAGAAAUCAGGUUCCUUAAACAACUGGGGUUAAAGGCCAAUGGUUAAAUCUCCCUGCUUACCCCAAGAUCUGAACCAGUAACCUUCCAGUCAGCAGUACUGUACCUCUAUCCAAACACCACCCUACCUCACUAACCACACCACUUACCUUGUCUAAGAGCCCUUUCCCAAAACAGACAAUGCAUAUCAAAUACAUUCUAACUGGCCUGAACUUAUUUCUUGGUAUAUAAACCAGGAUUGGAAUUCCACCUAAAAGUAUAUUCUAGUUUUGAUGUAAUAAUUAAGUGAACCACUAGAGGCCGUCCUAACUCCCUUUAUUCCAUUCAACAUUUUGACCCAAUGAAAUCCACGGCUAAAACUGGCAUUACCUGUUUUGGGUUAGGGUUACCAGAACAUUUGAUCACUUUCAUAUAUGUUUCUGAUUUUAUUUUGAAAUUCGCCUGUUUAUAGGUGCCCUUUACAAAAAUGUCUAUCUUGGAAUUUUGAAAGAAUGUAGGAAUUAUACUCAAAAAUACUACAUGAAUAUAUGUUGGGGGGAGUUUUCAUGUCCCGUCACCAUAUAAAUAUGCAACUUUCUGUCACAUUUUGUGGCACUCCUAACCUGCAGAAGUAUUUUGCAGAUGGUGGUCGCAUGGAGGGGGGACAUUGUGUUGGACCUGUGUGCCCCUAAUUGGGAGGUCUAUGGUUUGAAUCAUAUGGUUGGCAGGGUGCUGUCCCCAUGGGGCUCUUCAGCAAAGGCAGCUCACCCCGGUUCUAAGCCCUACUUGUAUGUCGCUUUGGACAAAUGCAUCCACUCGAUAAAUAAAUAUAAACAUGCAUGAGACAGGCAUGGCCGUUUGUCUAUGAAAUAACUAGCAUUUUUUUUCGGUCAUUGCAUUUUCCAGACACUAAAAAUCUAAUUUGAGACACAAUUAAAUGGCUCUCUUCUAAAUGUAAAAGUGUAAUAAAAGUGUUAGAAAAGUGAUGAUAUUUGAGAAGGUCAUGUGACAAAAUAAAAUUUUAAACAUGCUUUUAUCAUUUUAUAUCCAAUCUGUCUUGGGUUUAAGGAGUUUCAACUUAAUAAGGGAAUAUUAUAUGUUGGCUAAUUAAGCAGACAGCACAGCAAUAUAAUUCAUAUAAAACGCAGUUUUCUCUGUCCUGCACAAACCAUUGCUCCUUACGAAAGCAGUAUCUGAGUUCACAGCUGAAUUUGUUUUCACUGGGUUCAGGUUUAGAGUUCUGAACAUGUAGAUUGCUCUUUGUUAGCUUUCUGUUUGAUGGGUUACACUUAUGAACCAAGGCGUUUGGGAAAGGCUCCAAAGUAAAUUUUAUUAAAUACAAUUUGCCUUGCCUCUUCAAUUCCUUUUCUUUUUAAGACACUGAAAUAUGAUGUCUGUUUAAAUGUUACAUAGCAUUUGUUUCAGUUUUUAUCUGCCUGAUAACACUUCUUUACACUGUAAUUACAGUAUGGUCAAUUUAUUUCACUGUGAUUGAUAUGAAAUACAUUUUCUUGGGAAUGCCAGAUUAAAAUGAAGGGGUUUAACACUUCCUUAACUUUAAAUGAAAGUAUGUAACUAAAUACACAAUAUUUCCUGGUACAUUGACUAAAUGCAGUGCAUGCAAAUUUUGCAUGGUCAUCUUCUUGCGGAGUAUGUACUGAAUUAACAUUUGCAUUGUAUGGUUUCGGGCAGCUUGAAAGACAGUUGUCUUCCCGUUCUGUAUUGAAUCUUGCACGUUUCGUGAGUAAAUUUGGUACAUAUACUCUUUUCUCUUUUGUCUGAAAGGCAUAAUUUCACGUGCUGAAUCAGGCAUUCACCCCCCCAUAUUCUUCCGGCAUUUGACAUUUCUCCUUAUUCUAAUAAAUCAUAUCUCCUUUGUUCUAUGAUUGUGCAUUGCUAAACAAAAAAUCAUUGUCAGGCAUGAAGACAAGGGUUUGCUUAAGACCCUCCUCUGCUUUCUGAAUGAGAUCUGCUGUAGCUUAGUCAUUUUACAGUUUUUUUUUGUCAGUAAGUCAUAUUUGCAGUGUGCUAAUCAUUGAUAAAAGAUUUACAGGUGAAAAGCAUAUAACAAGUGCUUACAGACAAAGGAAUACGUAUAUUUGUGAGCUGUCAGUUUAUUUCACUUUAUGGAUAAUUUAAAAGGUUUAAAACGGUCAGGCCCAUCCCGAGCAGAAAGGCCGGAACUUUCCAGAGAAGUAGAG